RNAcentral lists this non-coding RNA (240 nucleotides) under Lactobacillus johnsonii. RNAcentral describes it as "T-box sequence". It matches the Rfam family "T-box leader". From Rfam's summary of the family: Uncharged tRNA acts as the effector for transcription antitermination of genes in the T-box leader family. T-boxes are found upstream of many aminoacyl-tRNA synthetase genes and some amino acid biosynthetic genes usually in Gram-positive bacteria. The record is from RNAcentral. Lineage: Bacteria; Bacillati; Bacillota; Bacilli; Lactobacillales; Lactobacillaceae.
CAAACAGCUUUGAUAAGGAAAAGUAAUUAGGAAAUCGUCUUUCAGAGAAUUUCUGGUUGGUGUGAAGAAAUAGAUAGAUUCUUAAUGAAAAUCACCUUUGAGCGUAAACUACGAUUUAGAGUGGUUUAAGGGACAGCCCUUUAUAGCGACGGCGUAUCGUUCUCCUGUAUUGAACCGUACGUUAAUUAAAGACUAGUUUUCUAGUAAAAAUAGGUGGUACAGCGACAAGACGCCCUAUUG